RNAcentral lists this unclassified non-coding RNA (236 nucleotides) under Hevea brasiliensis (rubber tree). The record is from RNAcentral. Lineage: Eukaryota; Viridiplantae; Streptophyta; Magnoliopsida; Malpighiales; Euphorbiaceae.
AAAAAAAAAACUUUAGUUGACUUGUUUUAGCCUUGGUCAAAGGGAAUAAAAAGCAUGAAUAGUUAAAAUUACAGGGACUAAACAGUAUAAAUAGUUGAAAUUAAAUUGACUAAACAGUGUAAAUAUUUAAGACUAAAAACAAGUUGACUAGUGUUUUAUUUGACAGAAGGACUAAAGAGAUUGAUUUUACAAAAAUAUAGGGACAUUUUAAUUGAGUUUUAAGAAAAUAAGGACUA